GCUCUUUUCGUCUAAAGGUUAGGACUUUACAUUUUCAUUGUAGCAAUACGAGUUCAAUUCUCGUAAAGAGUA
This 72-nucleotide transfer RNA is filed under the name Cyanoptyche gloeocystis. RNAcentral describes it as "tRNA-Glu". It matches the Rfam family "tRNA". From Rfam's summary of the family: Transfer RNA (tRNA) molecules are approximately 80 nucleotides in length. Their secondary structure includes four short double-helical elements and three loops (D, anti-codon, and T loops). Further hydrogen bonds mediate the characteristic L-shaped molecular structure. tRNAs have two regions of fundamental functional importance: the anti-codon, which is responsible for specific mRNA codon recognition, and the 3' end, to which the tRNAs corresponding amino acid is attached (by aminoacyl-tRNA synthetases). tRNAs cope with the degeneracy of the genetic code in two manners: having more than one tRNA (with a specific anti-codon) for a particular amino acid; and 'wobble' base-pairing, i.e. permitting non-standard base-pairing at the 3rd anti-codon position. Lineage: Eukaryota; Glaucocystophyceae. The record is from RNAcentral.